This 28-nucleotide small RNA is filed under the name Bombyx mori (domestic silkworm). RNAcentral describes it as "ovarian small RNA-3551". The record is from RNAcentral. Lineage: Eukaryota; Metazoa; Arthropoda; Insecta; Lepidoptera; Bombycidae.
UGAAUACCUAAACUAAUGUAUGCGGCCG